AUUGAACGCUGGCGGCAUGCCUUACACAUGCAAGUCGAACGGUAACGCGGGGCAACCUGGCGACGAGUGGCGAACGGGUGAGUAAUAUAUCGGAACGUGCCCAAUAGUGGGGGAUAGCCCGGCGAAAGCCGGAUUAAUACCGCAUACGACCUGAGGGUGAAAGCGGGGGAUCGCAAGACCUCGCGCUAUUGGAGCGGCCGAUAUCAGAUUAGGUAGUUGGUGGGGUAAAGGCCUACCAAGCCUACGAUCUGUAGCUGGUCUGAGAGGACGACCAGCCACACUGGGACUGAGACACGGCCCAGACUCCUACGGGAGGCAGCAGUGGGGAAUUUUGGACAAUGGGGGGCAACCCUGAUCCAGCCAUUCCGCGUGAGUGAAGAAGGCCUUCGGGUUGUAAAGCUCUUUGUUCGGGGACGAAACGGUCUCACCUAAUACGUGAGACUACUGACGGUACCCGAAGAAUAAGCACCGGCUAACUACGUGCCAGCAGCCGCGGUAAU
This 500-nucleotide ribosomal RNA is filed under the name uncultured bacterium. Its description in RNAcentral is "bacterial SSU rRNA". It matches the Rfam family "Bacterial small subunit ribosomal RNA", at positions 30 to 524 of the family's 1533-position model. The record is from RNAcentral.